RNAcentral lists this non-coding RNA (30 nucleotides) under Mus musculus (house mouse). The record is from RNAcentral. Lineage: Eukaryota; Metazoa; Chordata; Mammalia; Rodentia; Muridae.
UGGGUGCUAGUAUCUGCCUGAAUGUUUUCU